UCAUUCCUCUAGGCUUGCAUUUACACACAAGCUCAAGCAACCUACCCGAACUCUCGGCGGGCCACCGAUUGAGUUCCUAUUUGGUCUUGCUACGAGUGGAGUUUACCUAGCUGCCAAAUGUUACCACUGGCACGGUGCGCUCUUACCGCACCCUUUCACCCUUACCAGCCAAAGCUGGCGGUCUGCUCUCUGUUGCACUAGUCGUAGGCUCGCGCCCCCCGGACGUUAUCCGGCACUCG
This 239-nucleotide unclassified non-coding RNA is filed under the name Pasteurellaceae bacterium I39. Its description in RNAcentral is "partial RNaseP". The record is from RNAcentral. Lineage: Bacteria; Pseudomonadati; Pseudomonadota; Gammaproteobacteria; Pasteurellales; Pasteurellaceae.